Molecule: ribosomal RNA, 857 nt
Filed under: uncultured bacterium
Lineage: Bacteria
Description: bacterial SSU rRNA
Rfam family: Bacterial small subunit ribosomal RNA
Source: RNAcentral
CGGAGAGUUUGAUCCUGGCUCAGGAUGAACGCUGGCGGCGUGCCUAAUACAUGCAAGUCGAACGCUUUGUGGUUCAACUGAUUUGAAGAGCUUGCUCAGAUAUGACGAUGGACAUUGCAAAGAGUGGCGAACGGGUGAGUAACACGUGGGAAACCUACCUCUUAGCAGGGGAUAACAUUUGGAAACAGAUGCUAAUACCGUAUAACAAUAGCAACCGCAUGGUUGCUACUUAAAAGAUGGUUCUGCUAUCACUAAGAGAUGGUCCCGCGGUGCAUUAGUUAGUUGGUGAGGUAAUGGCUCACCAAGACGAUGAUGCAUAGCCGAGUUGAGAGACUGAUCGGCCACAAUGGGACUGAGACACGGCCCAUACUCCUACGGGAGGCAGCAGUAGGGAAUCUUCCACAAUGGGCGAAAGCCUGAUGGAGCAACGCCGCGUGUGUGAUGAAGGGUUUCGGCUCGUAAAACACCGUUGUAAGAAAAGAAUGACAUUGAGAGUAACUGUUCAAUGUGUGACGGUAUCUUACCAGAAAGGAACGGCUAAAUACGUGCCAGCAGCCGCGGUAAUACGUAUGUUCCAAGCGUUAUCCGGAUUUAUUGGGCGUAAAGCGAGCGCAGACGGUUAUUUAAGUCUGAAGUGAAAGCCCUCAGCUCAACUGAGGAAUUGCUUUGGAAACUGGAUGACUUGAGUGCAGUAGAGGAAAGUGGAACUCCAUGUGUAGCGGUGAAAUGCGUAGAUAUAUGGAAGAACACCAGUGGCGAAGGCGGCUUUCUGGACCGUAACUGACGUUGAGGCUCGAAAGUGUGGGUAGCAAACAGGAUUAGAUACCCUGGUAGUCCACACCGUAAACGAUGAGUGC